This 343-nucleotide ribosomal RNA is filed under the name uncultured fungus. Its description in RNAcentral is "eukaryotic LSU rRNA". The stretch from base 1 to 71 matches the Rfam family "5.8S ribosomal RNA", at positions 84 to 154 of the family's 154-position model. The record is from RNAcentral. Lineage: Eukaryota; Fungi.
GUGAGUCAUCGAAUCUUUGAACGCACCUUGCGCUCCAUGGCAUUCCGUGGAGCAUGCCUGUUUGAGUGCCGCGAAAUCUCCCACCCCUAGCGGUUGCCGCAAGGCGCGCCGGGCGGCGGGGUUGGUUGGGUGCCGCUGCCUGGGCUUUGGCCCAGGCUCGCCCGAAAUGCAUGAGCGCUUAGCACUCGCACCGUCUCGAGGGAAGGCGGCGGAGCUGGCAUCUGCGCAUGGCAUGAUACGUCAUUUGCUGUGUGGCAGCCCAGCGACCCGAGAGUGUGUGUGCGCUACUACACGCCCUUUCAUUUCUGGUCUCAAAUCAGGUAGGAUCACCCGCUGAACUUAA